Molecule: ribosomal RNA, 1365 nt
Filed under: uncultured bacterium
Lineage: Bacteria
Description: 16S ribosomal RNA
Rfam family: Bacterial small subunit ribosomal RNA
Source: RNAcentral
AGAGUUUGAUCCUGGCUCAGGAUGAACGUUGGCGGUGUGCCUAAUACAUGCAAGUCGAACGGUGACGAUUUUGUAGCAAUACGAAUGAAAUCAUAGUGGCGAACGGGUGAGUAACGCGUUGGUGAUCUGCCUCGAAGUGUGGAAUAACUUCCCGAAAGGGUAGCUAAUACCGCAUAGUCUCUCAAGGUUUAGAAAAUUGAGAGUAAAGGAUUUAUUCGCUUCGAGAGGAGCCUGCGUCCCAUCAGCUAGUUGGUAGGGUAAUAGCCUACCAAGGCAAUGACGGGUAGGGGACCUGAGAGGGUGGCCCCCCACAAUGGAACUGAAACACGGUCCAUACACCUACGGGUGGCAGCAGUAGGGAAUAUUAGAAAUGGGCGAAAGCCUGAUCUAGCAACACCGCGUGUGCGAUGAAGGCCUUCGGGUUGUAAAGCACUUUUUGGAGGGAAUAGGAAGGAAGGUACCUCCAGAAUAAGUCUCGGCUAACUACGUGCCAGCAGCCGCGGUAACACGUAGGAGGCAAACGUUAUCCGGAUUCACUGGGCGUAAAGCGCGUGUAGGUGGUUCUGUAAGUAGGGCGUGAAAGCUCCCGGCUCAACUGGGAGAGGCCGUACUAAACUGCAGAGCUAGAGGAUGGUAGAGGGAGGUGGAAUUCCAGGUGUAGUGGUGAAAUGCGCAGAUAUCUGGAGGAACACCAGUGGCGAAGGCGGCCUCCUGGACCAUUCCUGACACUCAGACGCGAAAGCUAGGGUAGCAAACGGAAUUAGAGACUCCGGUAGUCCUAGCCCUAAACGAUGCAGACUAGGCGUCGGCGGUUUAAUCACCGUCGGUGUCCAAGCUAACGCGAUAAGUCUGCCGCCUGAGGACUACGGCCGCAAGGCUAAAACUCAAAGGAAUUGACGGGUCCCCGCACAAGCAGCGGAGCGUGUGGUUUAAUUCGAUGCUCCGCGAAGAACCUUACCUGGGUUUGACAUAACAGUGGUAGAGAAGUGAAAACGGAUCGACCCUUCGGGGAGCUGUUACAGGUGUUGCAUGGCUGUCGUCAGCUCGUGUCGUGAGAUGUUCGGUUAAGUCCGCUAACGAGCGCAACCCGCGCUGUGUGUUACAAGUGUCACACAGUACCGCCGGUAUUAAGUCGGAGGAAGGUGCGGAUGACGUCAAGUCAGCAUGACUUUAUAUCCAGGGCUACACACACGCUACAAUGGUCAGAACAAUAGGUUGCCAAGCCGCAAGGCGGAGCCAAUCCUCCAAAUCUGGCCUCAGUUCAGAUUGCAGGCUGCAACUCGCCUGCAUGAAGUCGGAGUUGCUAGUAACCGCAGGUCAGCAUACUGCGGUGAAUACGUUCCCGGGGAUUGUACACACCGCCCG